RNAcentral lists this ribosomal RNA (497 nucleotides) under uncultured bacterium. RNAcentral describes it as "partial 16S ribosomal RNA". It matches the Rfam family "Bacterial small subunit ribosomal RNA", at positions 28 to 507 of the family's 1533-position model. The record is from RNAcentral.
GAUGAACGCUGGCGGCGUGCCUAAUACAUGCAAGUCGAGCGAACAGACGAGGAGCUUGCUCCUCUGACGUUAGCGGCGGACGGGUGAGUAACACGUGGAUAACCUCCCUAUAAGACUGGGAUAACUUCGGGAAACCGGAGCUAAUACCGGAUAAUAUAUUGAACCGCAUGGUUCAAUAGUGAAAGACGGUUUUGCUGUUACUUAUAGAUGGAUCCGCGCCGCAUUAGCUAGUUGGUAAGGUAACGGCUUACCAAGGCAACGAUGCGUAGCCGACCUGAGAGGGUGAUCGGCCACACUGGAACUGAGACACGGUCCAGACUCCUACGGGAGGCAGCAGUAGGGAAUCUUCCGCAAUGGGCGAAAGCCUGACGGAGCAACGCCGCGUGAGUGAUGAAGGUCUUCGGAUCGUAAAACUCUGUUAUUAGGGAAGAACAAAUGUGUAAGUAACUAUGCACGUCUUGACGGUACCUAAUCAGAAAGCCACGGCUAACUACGUG